Molecule: non-coding RNA, 422 nt
Organism: Mauremys mutica (yellowpond turtle)
Lineage: Eukaryota; Metazoa; Chordata; Testudines; Geoemydidae
Source: the annotation of a RefSeq genome assembly
AUAAAUGUUACGGGUUAAUGAUGUAUGUUCCUCAGCUCAGUAUCUUUCAGUCUAGAAGCAUCAAGAUGAUCUCACAAAUCCAACUUCUCUGCCUCUCUGUGCUCUGGAUUCAGGGAUCCAGAGGGGACAUCCUUGUGACUCAGACUCCAGAAUUCCUCUCAGUGUCACUAGGAGACACUGUCACUAUCAACUGCAAAGCCAGUUCCAGUGCUAGCAGCUACAUGGCUUUGCACCAGCAGAAACAAGGACAAGCUCCUAAACUUCUCAUCUACAGCACUAACACUCGACCCUCUGGGAUCCCAGACCGGUUCAGUGGCAGUGGGUCUGGCACUGACUUCACUUUUAAAAUCAGCCGGGUUGAAGCUGAUGAUGCUGGAGAUUAUUAUUGUCAGCAGCAUAACAGCAUCCCUCUCACACAGUGA